Molecule: unclassified non-coding RNA, 403 nt
Filed under: soil metagenome
Description: partial contains 5.8S ribosomal RNA, internal transcribed spacer 2, and large subunit ribosomal RNA
Rfam family: 5.8S ribosomal RNA (bases 1-120)
Source: RNAcentral
GAUGAAGAACGUAGCGAAAUGCGAUAAGUAAUGUGAAUUGCAGAAUUCAGUGAAUCAUCGAAUCUUUGAACGCACCUUGCGCCCUUUGGACUUCUGAAGGGCAUGCCUGUUUGAGUAUCAUGAACACCUCAACUCCUUAUGGUCUUCCAUGAUGAGCUUGGACUUUGGGGGUUUUGCUGGCCUACAGUCAGCUCCUCUAAAAUAAAUCAGCUUACCGGUGUUUGGUGGGUAUCAUGGGUGUGAUAACUAUCUACGCUCGUGGUUUUCCACCAGGUAACCUUCAGCAGUGGAGGUUCAAUGGAGCUCAUAGAUGUCUCUCCUCAGCGAGGACAGCCCUUUGAAUGUUUGAUCUCAAAUCAGGUAGGACUACCCGCUGAACUUAAGCAUAUCAAUAAGCGGAGGA